Molecule: small nuclear RNA, 117 nt
Organism: Salvia splendens (bonfire salvia)
Lineage: Eukaryota; Viridiplantae; Streptophyta; Magnoliopsida; Lamiales; Lamiaceae
Product: U5 spliceosomal RNA
Exons: 1
Source: RefSeq, a predicted model, not a curated record
UAGUUGUGAGUUGUGUAUAUAACGAACUAUUCUUCUGUCUUUUACUAAAUAAUAUCGUGUGUACGUCGCUAUUCAAACAACAUGUGCAUAUUUGGAAAAACCCAUUAAUUCUAUUUU